ACAGGACUAGCUCAGUCGGUAGAGCACCGGUCUCCAAAACCGGGUGUCGGGAGUUCGAGCCUCUCGUCCUGUGCCA
This 76-nucleotide transfer RNA is filed under the name Clostridium sp. Its description in RNAcentral is "tRNA-Trp". It matches the Rfam family "tRNA". From Rfam's summary of the family: Transfer RNA (tRNA) molecules are approximately 80 nucleotides in length. Their secondary structure includes four short double-helical elements and three loops (D, anti-codon, and T loops). Further hydrogen bonds mediate the characteristic L-shaped molecular structure. tRNAs have two regions of fundamental functional importance: the anti-codon, which is responsible for specific mRNA codon recognition, and the 3' end, to which the tRNAs corresponding amino acid is attached (by aminoacyl-tRNA synthetases). tRNAs cope with the degeneracy of the genetic code in two manners: having more than one tRNA (with a specific anti-codon) for a particular amino acid; and 'wobble' base-pairing, i.e. permitting non-standard base-pairing at the 3rd anti-codon position. Lineage: Bacteria; Bacillati; Bacillota; Clostridia; Eubacteriales; Clostridiaceae. The record is from RNAcentral. RNAcentral also lists the same sequence under 9 other names.